GACCAAUCCAUAUGGCCCGCGAAGAAAUGGGUCGGCUGAGUCGGAUUUUCGGGUUACCGGUUUGCUGUUUAUUGGGUUCUCAUGGUUUGGGUUGGUCGGUUUCGGAUCUUUGUUUUCAGCCCAGUGAAAACUGAAUCCGACCGGCUGAGUGUUAUAGUAAGUUUUUUUGUUAACAGUGGAGUGGACUGGGUAUAUGUCUCAGGCCUAACCUAAUAUUAAAAUCCCAACUCAAGUUUUCUCUACUACCAUCUUAUCAACACAGCCACAACGCUGUUCUCUCAUCUCAUCAACCCUAAACAACACCCAAACUCAAGUUCACGCCGCCACGAAGAACCACCACGCCGCCACCACUGAUCAACCAUAAGAUGGAGCAAAGAGAAAUUAGCUUGCAGGGAGAUGGUAGCUUUGAGUCACUUAGAGACUCAAGAACACAAGUCUAAUUUUUUGAAACUUUUGAAACUCAUUUUGGGAACCAACAAGCUUCGACCUUUUACAGAAUGGGAAACAAGUAUUAUUUUUGACAGUAACAGAAUUCACCGAAGCCUCAUCAGAGGUGAAAUGGAAGUGUAGAAAAGUGGAGUCUAAGCACUCAUAGAGAAGUGAAUAUUGCUAUAAUGGUGAUAGUGGUUGUGGUUUUAUGCAAGGUGCAUCCAACAACACCAGUAAAAAGAAAUUCGGA
Molecule: long non-coding RNA, 679 nt
Organism: Vicia villosa (hairy vetch)
Lineage: Eukaryota; Viridiplantae; Streptophyta; Magnoliopsida; Fabales; Fabaceae
Exons: 3
Source: RefSeq, a predicted model, not a curated record